Long non-coding RNA from Xiphias gladius (swordfish), 2578 nucleotides. RefSeq lists it as uncharacterized. NCBI's taxonomy places the organism in Eukaryota, Metazoa, Chordata, Actinopteri, Istiophoriformes, Xiphiidae. The record is from RefSeq and is a predicted model, not a curated record. The transcript has 3 exons.
ACCCCCUUUCUCUUCUACCUGCUUCUACCUGAGGGGAGACAUGCGGACUCUGUGAAUCAGGAGAAUCGACUUCAAAGAUAAGCUGAUUUAUACACAACUUUUCACCUAAGGAAAGCUGAUAUGGUGAUGUUAAGUGCUUAGUGAGGCAGGAAUGCUGAAGGAGGCCCGGCUGUCUGUGAUGUAUUGCACAGAAAGGGCUGUGUAUUAUUUCAUCUGCCUCCAAAUGCUCAAUCUUCUCUGCUCUCUCAUGCUGUUUUCAGAGGUGAAACCAACCAAUGGAUACUCAGGAAUUCACUAAGGACCCACCUACGUCUUAGAAACGCUGCAGUCUUCACUCAGUGGGCAUCGAGGAGGCCAGGAGAAUGGUGGAAGAACUCACGGCUGACGAAGUUGUUGCAGCACUUCUGCAAAGCAGUGACGAGGAUGACGGAGUUUCAGAGCCUGUUGGUUUUGUUUCCUAAUAUGAAGAGUAAUACCAAAGUAAGAGCGAUCCAUGAGAAGAUUAAGAGGAUUCCCAGCUGCCAGGGCACAGUGAACCACACUUGGCAUCUAUCCAAAACCCACACAUGUAAAUAGUGUGUUUUUAUAUAUAAUACAUAAAAAAAAGAAACUGUUGUAAUGCUAAUUUUUCAUUUGCACACAUCUCAUGAAGCUUGGUAUGUAGUAUGAAGUCAUUAUUCAGUUCCAUUUUAUCUCAGUCGCUCUAACAUUUGGUGAAAGUAGAGUGACAGACAACAAUAUUACAAAAUUUCAUUUUAGACAUUUAUUAUACAUUUAUCUACUGCUGCAUAUAUUCUACUACUUUUGUGAAUGUAAGAUUUUGGUAAACCCAUUUCAAGCACCAAAACAAUUCAUCCACAUGUGUAAAGGUAUGUUUGGACAAAAGAUUUGAAGAAUUUCAAAGAUUGUUUCAGCUUUAGGGAAAAAUUAUGUCUUUACACAGUGCUCUAGGACAAAUGGGUGCCUCACUUUAGAAAGAGAUGAGAUUUUUCUGCAAAUUUUGAUAUAAAACACUCGUAUAAUGUUAUAUGAAAGCAACUUUUAAAAGGUGAAAUUUAAGAAGAUACGAAAAAUUCAAACAAAUGCCCUUAGACCUCAAACAUUGUAUUGCUCAUCAUUUCUCUCCCUGGUGCAUCAAGCUGCAAUAAAUGCUUCUCCUUAAGACAUCUGAAGUCUCCUGAGAACUCAUUUCUUCAGCUAAUAAGAUUUUCCAUCACAAAUAGGCUUCGUGGACAGGAUCCCAACAAAACAAGACUGAAAAGUGCCUUGCUUUGCCAUGUCUGUGUUUGACAGGAUCAUAAAGAAACUUUGUAUAUUUUUCUGCAAUCUGGCUGUGAACAUCUAAGGCUUGAAAGGGAAAAAAAUUCAGAGAUCGUUGUCAGAAGUGUGUCAGCAGGCCUAUUGACUGAUUUCUCUAGGAGCAUUGCUCGGAACCAAUGUGUCAUACAAACCUGCCAGUGGAUGUUCAAUAAAAAUUGCUAAGUUUAAUGUGAAGCAGAAAAAAAGGGAGGAGUCAAGUGAGAUAAGGUGUGGUUUGGUUCAAUGGUGCUUUAAUCUCAUGCAUAUUCCAUAACUUAAAUGUGUUAAGUUAAACAUUGAUGUCAAUGGUUGGUUGGUAAAUUUGGAAGAAAAGACUGUGAUGUGUGUUUUUUAACCCCCACAGCACCACCAAAAGGGUGAUUGUUUCUGCGGCAACUUUGGGUUGUACCUAACACAGAAUAAGACCCACAGUGAAGUUAUACCCUGGAGAAGAUGUUCUGAGGCAGCUGAAAAAAUGCUUACUUCGGUUUAAUCAAAACCAUAUGACCUCUGGAGAACCUUUAUAUGCAGAUACUUACUGAAUACAGACUAAUUGAAAGAGAAUAAUUUCUCUGAAAGAGAAAAAUAGAGAAUUCCUUCACACCUGGCGCACACAAGAAGACUUAAUUGAUACUAAACACAGGCAAGAGCCCACACAUAAUGAGACAAGAAUAGAUUUCAUAAAAAUGUAGUCCUUUAGUUAUUUAAGAUCUGGCAACAACAGAACAUCACAUUCUUACAGAUUAAACUAAGCCAUGUUUUCUCUCAUAUAAAGUCACUGGAACUCUUUUUUGUGUUGUGCAAUAUACUGUAUUUACUGUGUGUUAAUUAUUGCUGGAUAUUAGCCAACAAAACAAAAAUAAUUACGUCUACUGCACUUCUAGAAGAAAAAAGGGACUGGAGCAUACUCAUAGUUCUGAAGCCUUUAAUGUUGCAAACAGAUUUUCCAACAUUAUUGUGUCGUUUUGUCUCGUUGCUGUCUUGUUCUGCAAGCACCUGAUUUAGGUACAUAAUGCUGGGAGAUGUGAUGUGGAGAGAACCCGUUUUCAUCUAAUCACUUGUAAUUUGAAUUGAUUCCCUGAAGCUAUAAGUGUUCUUUCCUUCAUCAACAUUUUUUUCUGUUGUUCUUGUAGGCAGAGCCCCAUGAAUUUAAGUAUUACAUAUUCUCUGUACUUACAAAUUCAAUUGUUUGAUCCACAACUAGAUUUACGGAUUAAAUUUAUUUAAUGAAAUAUUGUGAACAAACAUUUUUAAUAAACUGUUUAGUGUAUGACUUGUC